Molecule: ribosomal RNA, 169 nt
Filed under: Lutjanus ophuysenii (spotstripe snapper)
Lineage: Eukaryota; Metazoa; Chordata; Actinopteri; Lutjaniformes; Lutjanidae
Description: partial 12S ribosomal RNA
Source: RNAcentral
CACCGCGGUUAUACGAGAGACCCAAGUUGUUAGACAUCGGCGUAAAGAGUGGUUAAGAUUUAUCCAGGACUAAAGCCGAACGCCCUCAGAGCCGUUAUACGCACCCGAAGGUAAGAAGCCCAAUCACGAAAGUGGCUUUACAUUAUCCGAACCCACGAAAGCUAUGACA